Molecule: ribosomal RNA, 101 nt
Filed under: Sinocyclocheilus grahami
Lineage: Eukaryota; Metazoa; Chordata; Actinopteri; Cypriniformes; Cyprinidae
Source: RNAcentral
AGUUGCAGCCCAAGACUGGUUGCCCACUGAAGCUAAGCAGGGCUGAGCCUGGUCAGUACCUGGAUGGGUGACCUCCUGUGAAAACUAGGUUGCUGUUGGAA